GAUGAACGCUGGCGGCGUGCCUAAUACAUGCAAGUCGAGCGAACAUACGAGGAGUUUGCUCCUCUGACGUUAGCGGCGGACGGGUGAGUAACACGUGGAUAACCUACCUAUAAGACUGGGAUAACUUCGGGAAACCGGAGCUAAUACCGGAUAAUAUAUUGAACCGCAUGGUUCAAUAGUGAAAGACGGUUUUGCUGUCACUUAUAGAUGGAUCCGCGCCGCUUUAGAUAGUUGGUAAGGUAACGGCUUACCAAGGCAACGAUGCGUAGCCGACCUGAGAGGGUGAUCGGCCACACUGGAACUGAGACACGGUCCAGACUCCUACGGGACGCAGCAGAAGGGAAUCUUCCGCAAUGGGCGAAAGCCUGACGGAGCAACGCCGCGUGAGGGAUGAAGGUCUUCGGAUCGUAAAACUCUGUUAUUAGGGAAGAACAAAUGUGUAAGUAACUAUGCACGACUUGACGGUACCUAAUCAGAAGGCCACGGCUAACUACGUG
This 497-nucleotide ribosomal RNA is filed under the name uncultured bacterium. RNAcentral describes it as "partial 16S ribosomal RNA". It matches the Rfam family "Bacterial small subunit ribosomal RNA", at positions 28 to 507 of the family's 1533-position model. The record is from RNAcentral.